Molecule: RNA transcript, 1751 nt
Organism: Lolium perenne
Lineage: Eukaryota; Viridiplantae; Streptophyta; Magnoliopsida; Poales; Poaceae
Source: RefSeq, a predicted model, not a curated record
CGGAGGUGUACAUGUGCAUCUUGUUUGCUCGGUCGACCCUGACAGGCCGACACUCCUCACUCUUCCUCUCUCUCGCACAGCGUUGCCCCGUCACUGCCACCAUGGACGGGGUGGAGGGCUAUACUGAGCUCUUGGCAAGUGUCGCUGGACCUGGAUUCGCUAGUGUCGCGGCGAACGAUUUGGGAACGGCCGCCGCCGUGGUACAUAGUCCAUGUGUAGAUCCAGUUACUUAUGGUGGCUCACAUCUCGGCCAGAUUCAUAGGUCCAGCCGCAGCUCAGGAUCUGAUUCACUGUCUUCCUGUGGGGAAGAAGACGAUGAUCCCGUAGCCGUUUCUGAACCAUACUUCCCGGCAGGAUCCGGUUGGGAAGAAGACGAUGACGCAGUACCCGUUCAAGACCCAUACUACCCGGUAGGCUCCAGUUGGUUCUAUUCCGGUGGGGAAGAAGACGAUGAUGCCGUCCCCGUUCAGAGCAAUACUACCCGACUCAAAUCGAUGCUCAAGAUUUCGAGUCCCACGACGUUGACCAGUACUGCACCGCCGCCCACACCUUUGCCAGCUAGAUGCACAAUGCAGCGGCACCUGUGGAGCAAGAAAAGUUUGUACCUCCCAAAUCGUUAUACAUAAAACGUUUGGCUUAUGUCUGAAUAUUUUCUUGUCAACCUUGAAGCAACCGUACUGCAAAAGGCAUAGAGCUGCCUACUUGCAGGCCCCCAAGUGAGGUGGGCGCUGUGGAGGCAGCUUUGAGGGCUUCCGCCUCUAAGUAUACAGCGCAAAUAUUCUACCCAAAACCUGGCACUGUAUUUGAUUCUCUCGCUGAAGCAUAUGAGUUUGACAAUUUAUUUACUUGGGAUGUUGGGUUCGGCGUAAGAUAUGGCAGAAGCAACAUCAACAAAGGGAACGGUUACAAAACAAAGCAGGAGAUAGAAUGCGGCAAUGCGGGGUCUGACAAGAGAUGCAAUAACCAGUCACAACGCUCAGAAUUCAACUGUUCUUUCUGGUGGCGACUACCUUUGAUCUAAGCAUAUAAGGGAUGCGUUUGUUGGAGAUCAUCUGAAAUAUGAUUUUCAGCACUGCCGUCAUAUAAUUGCUCCAGUACCAUCAAGUACAGGCUUCAGCUGUUACAUAUGGGACAUCUCGGCGAGGGAUCUACUUGUCGUCGAUCCAACAAUGAUGAACUCUGAUGAGGUGAGGGCUACACACCGUCACAGACAUUCUUUGAUGGGUGGUCUUUGGAAGAUGGAGAAUGGGCCCAAGGAGUAGAGACCUCAGAUUUUGGCGGCCGAUGCAGAUGGAACAACUCUGGUUUGUGCACAAUGCACUACGUGCGUUGGUAUGCAGGAAUGUAAACACAAUAUUAUAAGCACCAGUUCAUUUUAAUAUGCUUUGCCCAAACAUGUUUCUCACGCCAUACUGUUUCGUUCUUCAGGUUGAGCUUGGUGAGGUUAGAGCAGACAUGUCCUGAUUCUGUAAGGCUAUUUUUGGUGCUACCCUGCAACGUUGGUGAUCUCCCUGUCCUCUUUUGGAGGCUCAAAUAGACAUUUGCCUAUUUAGUGUUAUGGCUGGAUUAUAUUCUGAUUCUGUAAGGCUAUUUUUGGUGCUACCCUUUGUUGUAAUCUUUCCAUCACUCUAAUAUUUGGGGUCACUCAGAUUUGAGGCUCCUUGAGACAAUCUUGUUAUUUGUAUCAGACUUGAACAUUGUUGUCCAGGUGCAUCAGAAAUUCAGAAUAAAAAACACCAAUUACUGAUGCA